GAUGAACGCUAGCGGCAGGCUUAACACAUGCAAGUCGAGGGGCAGCAGGGGUAGCAAUACUCGCUGGCGACCGGCAAACGGGUGCGGAACACGUACGCAAUCUACCUUUAUCCGGGGCAUAGCCCAGUGAAAACUGGAUUAACACCCCAUAAGAUACCAGAGUGGCAUCACUCAGGUUUUAAAAAUUUAUUGGAUAGAGAUGAGCGUGCGUCCCAUUAGCUAGUGGGUAGGGUAAAGGCCUACCAAGGCGACGAUGGGUAGCUGGUGUGAGAGCACGACCAGCCACACGGGCACUGAGACACGGGCCCGACUCCUACGGGAGGCAGCAGUGAGGAAUAUUGGUCAAUGGACGCAAGUCU
This 359-nucleotide ribosomal RNA is filed under the name uncultured bacterium. RNAcentral's name for it is "bacterial SSU rRNA". It matches the Rfam family "Bacterial small subunit ribosomal RNA", at positions 28 to 384 of the family's 1533-position model. The record is from RNAcentral.